RNAcentral lists this ribosomal RNA (305 nucleotides) under uncultured bacterium. RNAcentral's name for it is "bacterial SSU rRNA". It matches the Rfam family "Bacterial small subunit ribosomal RNA", at positions 333 to 659 of the family's 1533-position model. The record is from RNAcentral.
UAUUUCCUACGGGGCGCAGCAGUGGGGGAUAUUGCACAAUGGGGGGAACCCUGAUGCAGCGACGCCGCGUGGGUGAAGAAGCGCCUCGGCGCGUAAGGCCCUGUCAGCAGUGAAUUGACGGUACCUGCAAAGGAAGCACCGGCUAACUCCGUGCCAGCAGCCGCGGUAAUACGGAGGGUGCGAGCGUUAACCGGAAUUACUGGGCGUAAAGCGCUCGUAGGCGGUAUGUCAAGUCAAGGGUGAAAUCCCCGCGCUCAACGUGGGAACUGCCUUUGAAACUGGCAAACUGGGGUGUGUGAGAGGAU